CCUACGGGAGGCAGCAGUGAGGAAUAUUGGUCAAUGGACGAGAGUCUGAACCAGCCAAGUAGCGUGAAGGAUGACUGCCCUAUGGGUUGUAAACUUCUUUUAUAUGGGAAUAAAAUGUGCCACGUGUGGGAUUUUGUAUGUACCAUAUGAAUAAGGAUCGGCUAACUCCGUGCCAGCAGCCGCGGUAAUACGGAGGAUCCGAGCGUUAUCCGGAUUUAUUGGGUUUAAAGGGAGCGUAGGUGGAUUGUUAAGUCAGUUGUGAAAGUUUGCGGCUCAACCGUAAAAUUGCAGUUGAAACUGGCAGUCUUGAGUACAGUAGAGGUGGGCGGAAUUCGUGGUGUAGCGGUGAAAUGCUUAGAUAUCACGAAGAACUCCGAUUGCGAAGGCAGUUCACUGGACUGCAACUGACACUGAGGCUCGAAAGUGUGGGUAUCAAACAGGAUUAGAUACCCGUGUAGUC
This 460-nucleotide ribosomal RNA is filed under the name uncultured bacterium. Its description in RNAcentral is "partial 16S ribosomal RNA". It matches the Rfam family "Bacterial small subunit ribosomal RNA", at positions 338 to 795 of the family's 1533-position model. The record is from RNAcentral.